RNAcentral lists this ribosomal RNA (1447 nucleotides) under uncultured Bordetella sp. Its description in RNAcentral is "partial 16S-23S ribosomal RNA intergenic spacer". It matches the Rfam family "Bacterial small subunit ribosomal RNA". The record is from RNAcentral. Lineage: Bacteria; Pseudomonadati; Pseudomonadota; Betaproteobacteria; Burkholderiales; Alcaligenaceae.
UUCGGAUCAUGGCUCAGAUUGAACGCUGGCGGGAUGCUUUACACAUGCAAGUCGAACGGCAGCACGGACUUCGGUCUGCGGCGAGUGGCGAACGGGUGAGUAAUGUAUCGGAACGUGCCUUGCAGCGGGGAUAACUACGCGAAAGCGUAGCUGGCCACUGCAUACGCCCUCGGGGGAAAGCGGGGACCUUCGGGCCUCGCACUAUUAGAGCGGGCCGAUAUCGGAUUAGCUAGUUGGUGCACUUUGGCUCACCAAGGCGACGAGAUCCGUGUAGCUGAAGCUCUGGAGAGGACGAACGCCGUCAGACUGAGACACGGCCCAGACUCCUACGGGAGGCAGCAGUGGGGAAUUUUGACAAUGGGGGAAACCCUGGAUCCAGCCAUCUCGCGUGUGGGCGAUGAAGGCCUUCGGGUUGUAAAGCACUUUUGGCAGGAAAGAAACGGCACUGACACCCCGCACCGACGGUACCUGCAGAACAAGACCACAACCACGCCGCCAGCAGCCGCGUAAUACGUAGGGUGCAAGCGUUAAUCGGAAUUACUGGGCGUAAACAGGCAGGCGGUUCUGGAAAGAAAGAUGAAAUCCCAGAGCUUAACUUUGGAACCGUGGCAUUUUUGACUACCGAGCGAGUGUGUCAGAGGAGGUGGAAUUCGCGUGUAGCAGUGAAAUGUGAUGCGAGGAACACCGAUGGCGAAGGCAGCCUCUGGGAUAACACUGAUGCUCAUACGAAAGUGGGGAGCAAACAGGAUUAGAUACCCUGGUAGUCCACGCCCUAAAUGAUGUCAAUUCAGCUGUUGGGGCUUCGGGCCUUGGUAGCGCAACGCGUGAAGUUGACCGCCUGGGGAGUACGGUCGCAAGAUUAAAACUCAAAGGAACGAUUGGGACCCGCACAAGCGGUGGAUGAUGUGGAUUAAUUGAUGCAACGCGAAAAACUCCACUCAUCUUGAUAUGUGUCUGAAUCCCGCAGAGAUUUGGGAGUGCUCGCAAGAGAAACCGAACACAGGUGCUGCAUGGCUGUCGUCAGCUCGUGUCGAGAUGUUGGUUAAGUCCCGCAACGAGCGCAACUCUUGUCAUGCUGCUACGAAAGGGCACUCUAAUGAGACUGGUUGUGACAAACCGGAGGAAGGUGGGGGAUGACGUCAAGUCCUCAUGGCCCUAUGGGUAGGGCUCACACGUCAUACAAUGGUCGGGACAGAGGUCGCCAACCCGCGAGGGGGAGCCAAUCCAGAAACCCAGAUCGUAGUCCGACUGCAGUCUGCAACUCGGACUGCGUGAAGUCGGAAUGUUGCACCGUGGAUCAGCAUGUCGCGGUGAAUACGUUCCCGGGUCUUGUACACACCGCCUGUCACACCAUGGGAGUGGGUUUUACCAGAAGUAGUUAGCCUAACCAAAAGGAGGGCGAUUACUACGGUAGGAUUCAUGACUGGGGUGAAGUCGUAACAAGGGC